Molecule: non-coding RNA, 30 nt
Filed under: Mus musculus (house mouse)
Lineage: Eukaryota; Metazoa; Chordata; Mammalia; Rodentia; Muridae
Source: RNAcentral
UGAGGAAAUGUUUCAGUGUCUUAGAUAUCU